AUGGAGUCCUCCCUGGAAGCUGUGGCUGCGGGCAGAGCCCAGGUGCAGCAGGAGCCGUCGGCAGAGACCACUGAGGGCACCGGCGUCAGCAUCAACUGCUCACACCCCAACAUCCAAACCAGCGAGUUCAUCUACUGGUACCGUCAGCUCCCAGGUCGAGGACCCGAACGACUCGUGAGCGGUCUCAAAGGGUCCAAAGAUGUGUCGGAGCCGCUGGGCCGGCAGUCGGUGGCGGCAGACCGGCGGUCCAGUGCCCUGUGGCUCGCCCAGCCCCGGCUCGGGGACGCGGCGGUGUAUUACUGCGCCCUGGGAGACACGGGGAGACGAGCCGGGGCUGCGGCCGCGCAGGCGU
Chaetura pelagica (chimney swift) is the source of this 352-nucleotide non-coding RNA. NCBI's taxonomy places the organism in Eukaryota, Metazoa, Chordata, Aves, Apodiformes, Apodidae. The record is from the annotation of a RefSeq genome assembly.